Trifolium pratense (red clover) is the source of this 5081-nucleotide RNA transcript. It is a transcript of the gene named pentatricopeptide repeat-containing protein At1g12300, mitochondrial-like, with no coding region annotated. NCBI's taxonomy places the organism in Eukaryota, Viridiplantae, Streptophyta, Magnoliopsida, Fabales, Fabaceae. The record is from RefSeq and is a predicted model, not a curated record. The transcript has 3 exons.
GUGAAAAGUGAAAACCCCUACACAUUGAGAUUAAAUUAUCAUUCAUUCAAGAUUUCAAUCACAUUGUCAUAACAUUAUUCAUUUAAGAUUAAUCGAUUUUCAUUUUAAACCAAACAAACAACAAUGUCGUAUGUUGCUUCUUCUCCUAAUUUUCAAAAACUCCAAAACCCUAAAUUCAUUCGCUUCUUCUCCUCUUCACCUAAAAGCCUAUACUCUCAAUUCCACAACCAAAAUAAAGACGAACAAAAUCUCGUUUGCUUAUUCAAUCAAUUGCUACUUCAAAACAAUCCAUCCAUCUUCCGAUUUAACAAAAUUUUAGGUUCCUUUGUUAAGCUCAAUCAAUACUCCACUGUUGUUUCACUUCAUCGACAGAUGGAAUUAAAUGGAAUUUCCUCAGAUUUAGUCACUUCCAACAUAUUGAUCAAUUGUUUUUCACAAUUAGGUCAAAUCUCUCUUUCCUUUUCUGUAUUUGCCAACAUUCUCAAAAAGGGUUUUCAUCCAGAUGUCAUAACAUUGACUACACUCAUUAAGGGUCUCUGUCUCAAAGGUCAGAUCCAUAAAGCAUUCAACUUUCAUGAUAAGGUCGUAGCGCAGGGAUUCCGGUUAGGUCAUGUUAGUUAUGGGACCUUGAUCAAUGGGUUAUGUAAAGUUGGACAAACAAGUGCAGCCCUACAACUGCUGAGACGAGUUGAUGAGAAACUGGUUCAACCUACUGUGGUAAUGUACAGUGCAAUUAUUGAUAGUAUGUGCAAGGAUAAACUUGUUAAUCAUGCUUUUCAUUUAUACUCUGAAAUGAUUGCUAACAAACUUUCUCCUGAUGUAGUCACUUACAAUACUUUAAUUAAUGGCUUUUGUAUCGUAGGUCGGUUAAAAGAAGCAAUUCAUUUGUUUAAUAAAAUGGUAUCGGAAAACAUCAACCAUAAUAUUUAUACCUUCACUACGUUGGUUGAUGGAUUUUGUAAGGAAGGAAAAGUGAAAGAAGCUAAAAAUAUGUUUGCUAUGAUGAUGAGAAAAGGUGUUAAACCUGAUGUUGUUACUUAUAACUCUUUAAUGGAUGGAUAUUGCUUAGUUAAAGAAAUUAACAAGGCCAAUGGUAUAUUCAACACUAUGGCUCAGAUGGGAGUGGCUCCUGAUGGUCAUAGCUACAAUAUCAUGAUUAAUGGAUUUUGUAAGAUUAAAAUGGUAGAUGAAGCCAUCAAUCUCUUCAAUGAAAUGCAUUGCAGAAAAAUUAUACCUGAUGUGGUAACUUACAAUUCCCUUAUUGAUGGUUUGUGCAAAUCAGGAAGAAUCUCAUAUGCUUUGGAGCUUGUCAAUGAGAUGCAUGAUAGAGGUCAACCACCUGAUAUAAUUACUUAUUGUUCUAUAUUAGAUGCUUUAUGCAAAAAUCACCAUGUUGACAAGGCAAUUGCUUUAUUAACAAAAAUUAAAGAUAUGGGUAUUCAACCAAACAUGUGCACAUAUAAUAUUCUUAUUGAUGGAUUGUGUAAAGGUGGAAGAUUGAAUGACGCUCAAAAGGUUUUUGAGGAUCUUCUGGUCAAAGGCUACAAUCUUGAUGUCUAUACAUAUACUGCUAUGAUCCAUGGGUUUUGUAAAAAUGGGUUGCUUGAUGAAGCAUUGGCCAUACUAUCAAAACUGAAAGACAAUAGUUGCAUUCCAAACGCCGCAACAUAUGAAAUUAUUAUCCGUUCUCUAUUUGAUAACGAUGAAAAUGAUAAGGCGGAGAAACUUCUUCGUGAAAUGAUUUCAAGAGGUCUGUUGUAAGACUAAAACUAGGUAUGAUAUUUGUCUACUGUACAUUAUUAUUUUGAAUUUGUGUUUCAACAUUGUUUCAUCAUUUCAUUUAUGUAGUUGCUUCACCCAAUGGAAUGAAGGGUUUUGUUAUUUCUUUUGGCUAAGUGUGUUUAUAUUUCCCGACUACUUGAUCGGCAUGUUCCAACUUGGAGAAAUUGGUAGGAUAUGAAAAUUAUUAAUGUCAUAAGAGUGUUGUUGGGUUCAAUUUGUACUAAUUGUAUUACACUUGCUCUAGCCAAUGUUUUUUUUAUCAACAAUAGCUAAUAUCUAGAAACUUUAUAUAGUCAAAAUUUCAUUUCAAUACAGAAGUAGAAUACAUGUGAUAUCUGAGGGAAUUGGAUCAUGGAUACAGGUCUAGAGACUGAAAGCAAACUUGUUAUGGCUUGGGAAAUAUAAUAUCUUGUUAUUCCUUGCAUUAUCAUGACCAAAGAAGUAACUAGUUAUGGCUUGGUUUGUGAGUUUAAUACUUGAAAUGAUUAUGUGUGUGGCUUGUAAUGAAAUUAUUAGCUGAAACGUUUCUCUGCAAUAUCUGUUUUGCUGCCAAAUUCUAAUGUCUGCACUUUUUGGACAGAAUUUAUUGUUCUUAAUUGAGCUUAAGAAGAGGUGUUGGUCGUAGGAAACUGGGUUAAUUAAGAUUUGUUCUGUUGAGCCUAUCUUAGGGAUACUAAAUUGAAUUGGGACAGAACAACAAGAGAAAGGAGUUGGAGCUAGUGCAACCUCCUCCUUGUCAGUAGCAAAGAAUCGAUGCGGAUUUCAAAUCAUCAAUAGUAAAGUACACAUUUUUUACCUUAUCAUGUUAAAAUAUUUAUACAAAUUAUAGUGGAGGUGUUUACUUUUUGUGUUGUCUGCCAACAAUCAAAGUCAUUUUUCACAUCAUCACAAAAUAUUUAAACCUCAAACAACAAAAACAGUGUUGGUAGCAUUUGGAUCAUAUGUUUGCGGAGAAAAUAGUUAUUAAAAAACACUCGAGACUCUCUAGAUGCGGUUUUGUAUUUUGCACUUUUGUUUUUUGACACAUUGUUUUUAAACUUGCACAUUGACACACAUUGUUUCUUUCAAAUUAUCAAACACUAUGGCAGUAUGGCUCAGAUGGGUCAUGGGAGUGGCUCCUAACGUUCGGAGCUACACUAUCGUGAUUAAUGGAUUUUGUAAGAUUAAAAUGGUAGAUGAAGCCAUUAAUCUCUUCAAUGAAAUGCAUAGCAGAAAAAUUAUUCCUAAUGUGGUAUCGUACACUACUCUUAUUGAUGGAUCGUGUAAUGUUGGAAGACUAGAGGAUGCACUAGAGAUUUUCAAAGAUCUUUUGGUCAAAGGCUACAAUCUAAAUGUCUAUACAUAUACCAUUAUAAUCAAGGGAUUUUGCAAAACGGGAAUGUUUGACGAAGCAUUGACCAUGCUAUCAAAAUGGAAGACACUGGUUGCAUUCUGAAUGCUAAAGCUUAUGAAACAGUUAUUUUUUCCCUCCUUAAAAAAGGUGAAAAUUGUAAAGCAUAGAAGCUUUCUUCGUGAAAUGAUUGCAAGCAUGGUUGUCAGGAUCUAGAUCCCACUAAAGAUCGUUGGGGUAAAGAAAGAUCGUAAAUCGUAGGAUCGUAAUAAGGAUCGUAAGAUCCCACAAAUUUUCUUAAACAUAAAAACUUCAUUAAUAUUAAACAUAAUCUUAAACAUAAAAACUUCAAUACUCUUUAACAUAACCAAAAUAGCUUAGACUUAAAAACUAGAACAUAGAAAAAUAAGUAUUUUUCCAAUAAGUAUUUUUCCAUAAACUCCUCCAAUAAGUAUUUUUCCACAGUAGUUACAUUUGAUUUUUCUUGUUCCUCCAUCAACAGAAACUCCAUGUUUCCAAGCAAUAUCAUUUCGGUUUCCUUUUGAAUUUUUCGGAACUCUAGGGGGUGCAGAUGAGGAGGCACCAACAAGAGAAGACAUGAUUGAAAAUUUGAAAGGAAAUAAGAUGAAUUGAAUAAUUAGCAACCAUUAAUGAAAUUAGUGAUACGGUUGAUGAAUAGAGAUAGGGAUGCAAGGCUCGAUGCAAAAUUCCCAGUUCCACAUGAUAUUUUUGAUACGCAAUCAUGUUUAUAGGUGAAACUGUUCCUUUUCCCCACGUAAUCAGGGUUAGAUGCAGCUUUUUAGGUGAAGCGGUUCGUUUUCGGGUCGGGUCAGUGUAAUUUGAACCGGGUAAAAAACAUAUCAAAUGGGUCGGGGCGAAACGGGUUGAAUUGAAUCUUUAUAAACCCAUAACUAAAAAACGCGUGGAAGAUCUCUGCUUUCACGAUCUUACGAUGUUUCUCUGCGCUUUCACCUGUUCCUCCAUUCUUGCGAUCUUCUCUGCGCUCCAGCACUUUGGCUCACCCCCAACACGUAAGAUCGUGGGAUCUCACGAUUUAACUAUAGAUCUUAACAACCAUGAUUGCAAGAGAUCUACUGUAUGAUCAAGAUGUUAGAAAUAAAGUUUUAAUCCUUCUACUGAAGUCUACCAGGAACAAAUAGGUUAUCAUUUUUUUCCCUACAUUGCAUUGCAUUUAUCCUUUGGAUUUGUGUGUCUGCCCUUCCUUCUGACCAUCUUAAUAGAACUAAUCUUGCAAUUUCUGAUAAAUUUUGAAAACAUUUUCCAAAUGCUGAAACAUUGAUGUUGGGUUGCACUUCAAAAUUCCAGUGCCCAAGUCUGGGAACAAUGAUUUCAGUCCCCAAAAGUUAAAAAAUCCAAGCACUGUCUUGAUAGGUUGGACAUUUAUUGUUUACUGAUGUCAUUGAAAUUUGUUUCUUCAUAACCAAUCAUGGAAGCAUUGUCCUUUCAGUUCACGUUGCUAUUUUGUUGUCUGCCAUUAUGUGCAAGACUUUAAAUUAUGCUCAAGUUACUUUGGCAGCUGAUUCUGUUGUUAUAAUUUUAGCUUCAGAAUCAUAUUUUCAGUAAUAAAAUGGAUUGCUUUUGGUUCAUAUUUAGCUAGUAGGGUUCCCUCCUUCUUUUAAAGUAGUUUUUCAUGUUCUGUCAAUUUUAUCUGUUUGAAUAUAUAUGUAAGUAUCUAUCCAAAUGGUCGAUGUCACAAGAAAUUCUGUUUUGUAAGUAUCUUUUAUAGCAAGUCUCCUUUUUGGAGGACAUGAAAUUGAAAGAUGGUUUAGCAUUAUGAUUCUUCUCAUGCUUAGUUGUUUUAGACUAGCAUGAUGAUAGUUGGUUUGUGUAGAUACUUAUCCUUUUAUAUAAGCAUGAUGUGUUGAUUAGGUUCUGAUAUCAACACACUAUAUUUACUGAGUAUGUAUAUGUAUGUCUCUUUAUAUUAUGACAGGAUUGAUUUAUGAUA